Molecule: long non-coding RNA, 781 nt
Organism: Denticeps clupeoides (denticle herring)
Lineage: Eukaryota; Metazoa; Chordata; Actinopteri; Clupeiformes; Denticipitidae
Source: Ensembl
CUUGACUUGAUUCUUCUACUUCUCUCCUCUUUUGAUGAGAAAGAGGCGCUCCUUCUUCAUUAUGUAGAAGAGACAAGCCUUGAAAAGGAUGAAGAGUUGGGAAACUUGCCUGUGACCCCUUGCAUCAUUGUCUGUGUGGUGGUCUGUGCCUCCUCUUCUGGAAAGACACCUGCUUAACCCUCAACUCUGAUUUCACAAUAAUAUUAAGACCCUCCUGAUAUGCUGCUGAUCGAUUCAUGCUCAGUGUGGACCGCAAGAUUGUGAAUGAUGACAUCACUACAUUCAUCGCUGCUGUUAGCCUAAUGUUCGGCAGUUAUUACUGUUUCAACAUUCACUACCCUACUGAAUUGGCAUCAGUGCUUGAAUUUUUGCAAAGGUGUUUUUUUCAUCAUCAAUCCUGAAAAGGGCACAAAGGUGGUGGAAAAGAAGAACAAAAAACAACUCCCAGUGAACCCAAGAGUCUUCACCUUAAUCUCUGACCUUUCGGAUUACAAGUGGCGAGAGACAUUGUAAAUGGCCUGCAAAGGUGCCCAGCAACUUGUGUUGUUCCUUGUUCUGCUUUAGUAGUUAUUAAUGUAAAUGUUCAACUUAAACUUUACCUAUCUAACUAAAGUGUCAGUUAGAUAGCGGAAUCUAAAUUUUAAAUGCAUAGUCUUGACCGAUUUCUUGUCUGAUUUUAAGACUGAUCUUAAGCCAUUGUAUACUUAUGAUAAAACACAAGAACAGAAAAAAAACACUAAUGUUUAAAUGCCUGCCAGUCUUUAUUAAAAAUACUUGGGAC